This 253-nucleotide ribosomal RNA is filed under the name uncultured bacterium. RNAcentral describes it as "partial 16S ribosomal RNA". It matches the Rfam family "Bacterial small subunit ribosomal RNA", at positions 524 to 776 of the family's 1533-position model. The record is from RNAcentral.
UACGUAGGGGGCAAGCGUUGUCCGGAAUCAUUGGGCGUAAAGAGCGUGUAGGCGGCUCGAUAAGUCUGCUGUGAAAGUCCAGGGCUCAACCCUGAAAGGCCGGUGGAAACUGUCGGGCUAGAGUCCGGAAGAGGCGAGUGGAAUUCCCGGUGUAGCGGUGAAAUGCGCAGAUAUCGGGAGGAACACCAAUGGCGAAGGCAGCUCGCUGGGACGGUACUGACGCUGAGACGCGAAAGCGUGGGGAGCAAACAGG